UCUAGAAUGUGAUUUUGAUCGUUGUACUUGCGUGAAUGCUACUCCGCAUUCCUGAAUUUGUGUUCCUACUCCGCAACAAUCCUUGUUGCAUGAACCUUUCAUUUACCAAAGAUUUAAAACACACAUUAGUCGAGUUUGUUAGUUUGUUCAUCAAAACCAUAAGAGUCAACAAUAAGGCUGAUAUAAUGUGGCCUUCAUUUCUUUCAAAAACAGAAACACCAUGGCUUUUGUAUGCAAAUGAAGUUUCUACUGAUGAACAGAUCCACACUUUUUACUCUUUAUCAUCCACCUCAACCUGUAAUACCGAAUCUUACAGUGAAAGCAUUCCUCAAUUGCGCGGCAAACACAUAUGUGCCUCAUCUUAUGGUUGGUUUGUUCUACAGUAUAAAGUCCAAGAUAACUUGUUCUCUAUCUUCAAUCUUGAAACUUUGCAGACAAUCCCUCCAUUAACAGCCACACCAGAUAACGACUUCAGUAAUGUCAAGUGCGCUCUUUCAUCUUCCCCUGACUGUUAUGACUGUCUGCUGCUCUUGUUUCAUACUGGUGCUUCUGUAAUGUUUUUCUGCCACCCUGCACACCCUGAUGACAAGUGGUCCUCACAGAAACUUGAGCCUGAAUGUGAUGCCUUAAAAAUAAUCCAAUUGAUUACUGUCAACCGAUACAUAUAAGGUGUUAGCAGAGAAGGAAUGUUAUUCUAUGUGGUGGAUGAAAUUAAGUCACUCACCUUGGUCCCUUUGCAAAUUUUACUACCCGUUAUUCACUUGCGAUGUCACUGUCACUUUAUAAACAUGUUGGAAUCAUGUGGCCGUCAUUAUAGUGUUUAUCUAUGCAUGGCCAUUGGUUCGCGUAAACGACUCAUGGCCGUGAAAUUUUUGAACUGGACCUGCAGAAGAAGAUGUGGGUUGAGGUCAAGUGUCUGGAUGGUCGUACCUUUUUAAUAGGGCUAGGUAAUAAUUGCACCUGGUGUUGGGGUAACACAAAAGGAGGAAUUGUAUAUACGUUCUUAAGUGCGGAGAUGAACUAGGUACCACAGAAACAUUGUUGUAUAACCUCCUUAAUCAAACUUGUACUAUCAUACCUUCCUGCACAAGCUUCAUUGACAUUAGGAGGUUCCUUGCUUGGGUGAUUCCCCCAAAACAGCAAAGACCUGCUACGUUAUUGGCAAAACAAGAGUUUCAAGAGAGUGUCGAAAAGGUAUACGAGGUCUCCAAUGUAGGAGUUUGUCUUUGCAAAGCCCAAAAGUUACUGCAUUACAGUGAAACGCAAGAGGCUUAUUCAGUAAGCUUCCUUCUCAUGUACUGGAAUUAAUUUGAAACUGUAUGCAUUUGUUUGAAUACUGGAACUUCCGUGUCAGCUGUAAGAUUUUUUAUGCAGCAUGUCCUGUAUCUCAAAGGAGAACAUUUCCUUUUUUUAUGCUCCUAAAGAAUUAUGGUGGGUUGUUCACAAUAAUCGACCCUUGUUGACUUGAUUCACGCUCCUGCAGCAACAUUCUCCCAUCAUCUGUUGGUCCAUUUACCUUAGAAUUCUUUAAAAAUGGAUGGCUACUCUACGUAGUUGGUAAAGAGUCCAUUGAAUUCCUCAACCCUUUUACAAGGGUAAGGGGUGUUUAUCCGCCUUUUCAACCAAUAGAAAUUCUCUUUUCUCUUAAGAGUAUUGCAUUUUCAACCUCUCCGACUUGCCCUGAGUGUGUGACAAUUGGAAUUUAUCAUUAUGCCUACUUUAUAUCUUUCAUAUACCUUCAAUCUGGCGAUAAGGAAUGGAAAACUUUUAGAACUAUACAAAGGGAUGAUAUUGAGUUCCGUCCCAAUUCAAGCUCUCCCAUCUUUCUUGAGGGCGCAUUCGAUUAUUUGAAUGUUUGUGGAUUUCUUGGAGUAUUUGGAUUGCAGGGUGGACAACCAACAUGGUAAGUUUAUCACAGUCCUCCUACUCUUGGUAAUAACUUCUACUUGAGUUGUUUAGUUGAGUGCAAUGAAGAAAUUUACUCAGUAUUCAUUGGGAAACUUGGGAAGUCGAUUCAAGUCUUUAGGUUCGAUGACAUUGAGAAGAAUUGGAUUGAAAUUGAUGAUUUGGGAGAUCACAUUUUGUUUAUUAGUCGUGCAUCAUCUUUUUCCGUAAUGACAAGAGAUCCUAAGUUGAGAAAUAGGAUCUAUCUCCCAAGGCUUGAAGGCAAUAAUAUUGUCUUCUACUCUCUAAAAAAUAGAAAAUAUCACAUCUUGAGCCAUGAUGAUGCUAGUGAAAUCGGUGCUUCGAUGGAAGAUUUACGUUUUACUAAAGAGUCUUAUUGGAGUUGUUGGUUAUAGUUUUCUUUUUUCAUAC
Long non-coding RNA from Chenopodium quinoa (quinoa), 2316 nucleotides. RefSeq lists it as uncharacterized. The transcript is spliced from 2 exons. NCBI's taxonomy places the organism in Eukaryota, Viridiplantae, Streptophyta, Magnoliopsida, Caryophyllales, Amaranthaceae. The record is from RefSeq and is a predicted model, not a curated record.